Long non-coding RNA from Cucumis melo (muskmelon), 376 nucleotides. RefSeq lists it as uncharacterized. Lineage: Eukaryota; Viridiplantae; Streptophyta; Magnoliopsida; Cucurbitales; Cucurbitaceae. The record is from RefSeq and is a predicted model, not a curated record. The transcript is spliced from 2 exons.
UGGAUGAAACUUAGAAAUAAGUUAUCCCUUGGCAAGUGCAAGCAGUUCGUCGACAUCUUGUUCGCAGUCCACACAAAAAGAGAUUGAAUUACAAGCUAAACUUCAUGAAGCUUUGGAACGGAUUGAAGUACAAGAUAGAAAUCACCAAGCAUUAGCUUCACAAGUGGAAGCUAUGAAAAAGAUGAUUGAAGACCUAACUCGUGCACAACAGGGACCACCACAUGAUCCCUAGCCCUGCGGACCGAAGGUGUAGAAUGACGCGCAUACGCACCUCGUUGGGAGAUUGGGUCUUAUGUUUAUGUUUUUUCUAUAUUGAGAACUAUAUUUUCUUGUAGUCAACUUAUUCGUAUUAUUAAUUUUAAUUCUAUUUUUUUAA